GAUGAACGCUGCCGCCUUGCCUAUACAUGCAAAUCCAGCGAACAGAAGAGGAGCCUUCCUCCUCUACGGUUACCGCCGACCGGGGGGGUACACCUUGAUUAACCUCCCUUAAGACCGGGGUUAACUUCGGAAACCCGGGCCUAUUACGGGAUAUUAUUUUAACCGCAUGGGUUAAUUGGUAAAGGAGGGUUUGCCGUUCACUUAUGAAUGAUUCCGCGCCGCAUUAGCUAGUUGGUAAGGUAACGGCUUACCAAGGCGACGAUGCGUAGCCGACCUGAGAGGGUGAUCGGCCACACUGGAACUGAGACACGGUCCAGACUCCUACGGGAGGCAGCAGUAGGGAAUCUUCCGCAAUGGGCGAAAGCCUGACGGAGCAACGCCGCGUGAGUGAUGAAGGUCUUCGGAUCGUAAAACUCUGUUAUUAGGGAAGAACAAAUGUGUAAGUAACUAUGCACGUCUUGACGGUACCUAAUCAGAAAGCCACGGCUAACUACGUG
Molecule: ribosomal RNA, 497 nt
Filed under: uncultured bacterium
Lineage: Bacteria
Description: partial 16S ribosomal RNA
Rfam family: Bacterial small subunit ribosomal RNA
Source: RNAcentral